AACUCUCAACGAUGGAUGCCUCGGCUCGAGAAUCGAUGAAGGGCGCAGCGAAGUGCGAUAAGCACUGCGAUUUGCAGAAUUCCGUGAACCAGUAGAAAUCUCAACGCAUACUGCACAAAGGGGAUCUUUCCUCUUUGUACAUACAUAUCAGUGUCGCUC
Molecule: ribosomal RNA, 159 nt
Filed under: Perkinsus olseni
Lineage: Eukaryota; Perkinsozoa; Perkinsida; Perkinsidae
Description: 5.8S ribosomal RNA
Rfam family: 5.8S ribosomal RNA
About the family: 5.8S ribosomal RNA (5.8S rRNA) is a component of the large subunit of the eukaryotic ribosome. It is transcribed by RNA polymerase I as part of the 45S precursor that also contains 18S and 28S rRNA.
Source: RNAcentral